UAGGGAAUCUUCCGCAAUGGACGCAAGUCUGACGGAGCAACGCCGCGUGAGUGAAGAAGGAUUUCGGUUCGUAAAACUCUGUUGUUAGAGCAGAACAGCGCAUAGAGUAACUGUUAUGCGUGUUACUGUAUCUAACCAGAAAGCCACGGCUAACUACGUGCCAGCAGCCGCGGUAAUACGUAGGUGGCAAGCGUUGUCCGGAUUUAUUGGGCGUAAAGCGAGCGCAGGCGGUUAGAAAAGUCUGAAGUGAAAGGCAGUGGCUCAACCAUUGUAGGCUUUGGAAACUGUUUAACUUGAGUGCAGAAGGGGAGAGUGGAAUUCCAUGUGUAGCGGUGAAAUGCGUAGAUAUAUGGAGGAACACCGGUGGCGAAAGCGGCUCUCUGGUCUGUAACUGACGCUGAGGCUCGAAAGCGUGGGGAGCGAACAGG
This 428-nucleotide ribosomal RNA is filed under the name Bacteroidota bacterium. RNAcentral describes it as "Bacteroidetes bacterium partial 16S ribosomal RNA". It matches the Rfam family "Bacterial small subunit ribosomal RNA", at positions 355 to 776 of the family's 1533-position model. Lineage: Bacteria; Pseudomonadati; Bacteroidota. The record is from RNAcentral.